Molecule: transfer RNA, 109 nt
Filed under: Moniliophthora perniciosa FA553
Lineage: Eukaryota; Fungi; Basidiomycota; Agaricomycetes; Agaricales; Marasmiaceae
Rfam family: tRNA
About the family: Transfer RNA (tRNA) molecules are approximately 80 nucleotides in length. Their secondary structure includes four short double-helical elements and three loops (D, anti-codon, and T loops).
Source: Rfam by way of RNAcentral
GCUUCCUUGGCUCAGUUGGCUAGAGCGCAGGUCUCAUAGCAUUGUCUAUGACGUUGGUAUCUGACCAAUGGCAUCCUGGAGGUCGCAAGUUCGAGCCUUGCAGGAAGCA